This 429-nucleotide ribosomal RNA is filed under the name Bacteroidota bacterium. Its description in RNAcentral is "Bacteroidetes bacterium partial 16S ribosomal RNA". It matches the Rfam family "Bacterial small subunit ribosomal RNA", at positions 355 to 776 of the family's 1533-position model. Lineage: Bacteria; Pseudomonadati; Bacteroidota. The record is from RNAcentral.
UAGGGAAUCUUCCGCAAUGGACGCAAGUCUGACGGAGCAACGCCGCGUGAGUGAAGAAGGAUUUCGGUUCGUAAAACUCUGUUGUUAGAGAAGAACAGCGCAUAGAGUAACUGUUAUGCGUGUGACGGUAUCUAACCAGAAAGCCACGGCUAACUACGUGCCAGCAGCCGCGGUAAUACGUAGGUGGCAAGCGUUGUCCGGAUUUAUUGGGCGUAAAGCGAGCGCAGGCGGUCAAUUAAGUCUGAUGUGAAAGCCCACGGCUCAACCGUGGAGGGUCAUUGGAAACUGGAAAACUUGAGUGCAGAAGAGGAAGGUGGAAUUCCAUGUGUAGCGGUGAAAUGCGCAGAGAUAUGGAGGAACACCAGUGGCGAAGGCGACUUUCUGGUCUGUAACUGACGCUGAUGUGCGAAAGCGUGGGGAUCAAACAGG